CCUACGGGUGGCAGCAGUGGGGAAUAUUGCACAAUGGGCGAAAGCCUGAUGCAGCAACGCCGCGUGAAGGAAGAAGGGUUUCGGCUCGUAAACUUCUUUCACCGGGGAGGAAGGAAUUAAGGUUACUUAAUUAAAAAACCCCGGCUAACUACGUGCCAGCAGCCGCGGUAAUCCGGAGGGGGCAAGCGUUAUCCGGAAUUACUGGGUGUAAAGGGUGAGUAGGCGGCAUGGUAAGCCAGAUGUGAAAGCCUUGGGCUUAACCCGAGGAUUGCAUUUGGAACUACCAAGCUAGAGUACAGGAGAGGAAAGCGGAAUUCCUAGUGUAGCGGUGAAAUGCGUAGAUAUUAGGAAGAACACCAGUGGCGAAGGCGGCUUUCUGGACUGAAACUGACGCUGAGGCACGAAAGCGUGGGGAGCGAACAGGAUUAGAUACCCUUGUAGUC
RNAcentral lists this ribosomal RNA (443 nucleotides) under uncultured bacterium. RNAcentral's name for it is "partial 16S ribosomal RNA". It matches the Rfam family "Bacterial small subunit ribosomal RNA", at positions 338 to 795 of the family's 1533-position model. The record is from RNAcentral.